RNAcentral lists this ribosomal RNA (433 nucleotides) under uncultured bacterium. Its description in RNAcentral is "partial 16S ribosomal RNA". It matches the Rfam family "Bacterial small subunit ribosomal RNA", at positions 29 to 507 of the family's 1533-position model. The record is from RNAcentral.
AACGAACGCUGGCGGCAUGCCUAACACAUGCAAGUCGAACGAGACCUUCGGGUCUAGUGGCGCACGGGUGCGUAACGCGUGGGAACCUGCCUUUAGGUUCGGAAUAACUCAGAGAAAUUUGAGCUAAUACCGGAUGAUGUCUUCGGACCAAAGAUUUAUCGCCUUUAGAUGGGCCCGCGUUGGAUUAGCUAGUUGGUGGGGUAAAGGACUACCAAGGCGACGAUCCAUAGCUGGUCUGAGAGGAUGAUCAGCCACACUGGGACUGAGACACGGCCCAGACUCCUACGGGAGGCAGCAGUGGGGAAUAUUGGACAAUGGGCGAAAGCCUGAUCCAGCAAUGCCGCGUGAGUGAUGAAGGCCUUAGGGUUGUAAAGCUCUUUUACCCGAGAUGAUAAUGACAGUAUCGGGAGAAUAAGCUCCGGCUAACUCCGUG